GUGCAGCGCCCUCCUGCAUCAUUCGCUUGAAGUACAGCGCAUCUAGCGCUGGUGUAGCUGUGGGCAUCAAUAAAAGCAUAAUCAAUUUAAAGAGAUUGAUACAUUUCGGCGUCCCAGAUAUUGCGUAUGGGCAAUAGAAAACUGGCUACAAAAUGAACACAAGAAGAUCAAAACCCAAAUCGGAAACGCUAAGUCGUACGAACGCCGCUAGUUCCAGAACCGUGAACAAGCGAGGCGCGCAAAAAACCAACAACGAGGACAAAACCAUACCUAUCAAAAUGACAAAAGCGGACAAUGCUGGCGAUGUGGAGGCAGAAAGUUUAUCGUUCACUGCAAACAACGCCGAGGAAGAUGACGAAGAGCAGGGAUGCUACUUUGUCGACCAGAAAGGCAAUUACUAUUUUCAAGCCAGCGAAGACGCGGAACCGGUACUGGCGGCUGUAGGAACAGAGCCGUUUUCGGCAGAAGGGGAUGAAAAUAUGAAAAUCGAACAGGACAGCGUAAGUUACGUGCUUAUCAUGGAAGAUGGCGAGAAUAAGUCGACCAUUGUGGCGGAUACCGCUGACGGCGGAAAUCUGCAACCCGGUGAGGACGAAAUUUACGAUUUCGACGAUUCCGAUUUUAUUGUCGAAGAAUCGGCACCCAGUGCGAAGAAGCCGGGUCGCGUUAAGAAGGAACCGGCAGCCGAUGGUGCGAUGCACAUGUGCAACUACUGCAAUUAUACGACCAAAAAAAUGUUUCUCCUUUCCCGUCACCUCAAAUCGCACUCCGAUGAUCGACCGCACAAGUGCUCGGUCUGCGAGCGUGGCUUUAAGACGAUGGCCUCGCUGCAGAACCACGUAAAUACGCACACCGGCACCAAGCCUCAUCGUUGUAAAGUGUGCGAUAAUUGCUUCACGACAUCCGGUGAACUGAUACGGCACAUGCGGUACAAGCACACGCACGAACGGCCGCACAAGUGCACGGAGUGUGACUACUCGAGCGUGGAGCUGAGCAAAUUGAAGCGCCACAUCCGGACGCACACUGGGGAAAAGCCGUUCCAGUGUCCGCACUGUACCUACGCGUCGCCGGAUAAGUUCAAGCUGACUCGCCAUAUGCGCAUCCAUACAGGAGAAAAGCCGUACUCUUGCGACAUUUGCUUUGCCCGCUUCACACAGUCCAACUCACUGAAGGCACACAAACUGAUUCACCAGGUUGGCGAUAAGCCUGUCUACCAGUGUGAACUGUGUCCCACAACCUGUGGCCGCAAGACCGACCUGCGUAUUCAUGUGCAGAAACUGCACACGGCGGAAAAACCGAUCAAAUGCAAACGCUGCGACAGCACGUUUGAAGAUCGGUACUCGUACAAGAUGCACGUGAAGACACACGAGGGAGAACGGUGCUUCAAGUGUGACUUCUGUCCGUACGCUUCUAUCUCGGCUCGCCAUCUAGAAUCACAUCUUUUGCUGCACACCAAUCAAAAGCCUUUCAAAUGCUCCGAGUGUAGUCAGUGCUUCCGACAGAAGCAGCUACUAAAGCGACACAUAAACUACUACCACAAUCCCGAUUACGUCGUCCCGACACCAAAGGCGAAGACGCACGUCUGCCCUAGCUGCCCCCGCUCGUUCCGGCACCGGGGAAAUCUGAUGCGCCACAUGGCCAUGCACGAUCCCGAGUCACAGUUGCACGAGGAGCAGGCGGCAUUACGCGAAGGGCGCCAGAAGAAGGUGCAAAUUACGCUGGAGGAGGAAAUGGAUGACGAGGAAGAGGAGGAUGAAAAGGCGGAAGGUGGCGAUCUCGUCACUGUGCAGGAUGACGAUGGGCAGUACGUGGUGCUGGAGGUGAUACAGCUUCAGGAUAAGGAUGGUGCGGUUGAGAAAUCCAGCGGCAUGGGCACAAGGAAGCGUGGUGGAGCGCGAGCUUUAAACGAGGCGUCCGCUCCAUCCACUUCCGGCACGUCGAUCGUGACUAGGUCGGGAAAUGCAACAAUCCAGCAGCAGCAGGUAAAAAUGAAACAGGAGCAUAAAGAUGGUAACUCGCUGGACAACCAGUCGGACUUCCAAGGUGUGGAGGAAGAAGAGACGGAUGAAGAGGAUGAAGAAGAGGAGGAGGAGGAAGAGGAAGAGAUCGUGAUCGAACAGGGUGAUGAUCAUUCCGAGAGUGAAUUUAUUCUCUCAGGAGAUUUGGAAGACACUGAAAUGCUAAUGUCAACACUGCAAGCCCCCAAGCAAGAACGCUAUGAUCUGAGCAGUAUCACCGUAAGCCAGGCUGAGAUUGAGAAAAAUAUGAGCAAUUGCUUUGGAUUCUCAGAUGACGAAGAUGAAGAUGCAAAAUCUACGAUAACAUUGCUAACCUAAGCCACCGGAUUCUUGGUAAAUCAUCAGUUGCCAUCGUCUUCACGCGUAUCGCGAAGCUCUUCUGAGCUGGGUGCAUACUGGAAGGAAGUUAACAAAUGAAUGCAUCCACUCAUCGAUCUCGCAAGUAUGUGUUGGCAGUGCCAGUACCAUCAAAUGAUAACGAUUGAGGUUAUCUUCUCAACCCUACUAAUUAGUCGACGGAGUGAUUGUGUCCUAUGCGGACAUAAAGGUUUUAGUUUGAAUAAGACACCUACGACAUCAGCAGUUCAGGAGCUGAAACGUACGUUUAUAAGCGUCAUGUCACGAUUGCAAGGCGGAAUAUCAUUUAAUGUUUGUAUUUUACCUAUUAUAGACAUCAAACGAGUGUGCUCCAGGAUAGUUUGUAGCUAAUUUGAAAAAAACGGUAAAGUACUUCUUGUGGAGCAGAAAAUAGAUGAAAACUUCAAUUUUAUUCGAAAAUCCUUCGCAAACUCGUUCAACAAUCAAAACUGCUUAUCACUUUGCUAAAAGGCGAUAGCUGCUUUUGAAAAAUA
Molecule: RNA transcript, 2869 nt
Organism: Anopheles coustani
Lineage: Eukaryota; Metazoa; Arthropoda; Insecta; Diptera; Culicidae
Gene name: transcriptional repressor CTCFL-like
Exons: 6
Source: RefSeq, a predicted model, not a curated record